UCAGCUGGUUUCUUAGAAAUCAGCUGCCAGGGCUGUCAGCUGCAGCCUGGACUUCCUCCCUCACCUGACGGCCUCCUCCCCGGGUGGGUGCCAUGCUGUCGACAGAGACGGGAGCAGAGGCCCGUGCUGGAGUUGAGGGGAGCCCCCGGAAAGCUCAGGGGUCAUGCCUUCAUCCCUUCCUGUGUGCCGUGUGCCAGGUGCCAGGGGAAGAGAGAAAUCCGAGUCCAUCAGAGAGUUAGGAGAAAAAGGACUCAGAGGCCCCCAGUUAGCCGUUGUGCCCACUGGAUCAAAAGAGUGGCAGAGAAGGAGCACCAGACAGGGCCCUGAUGCAUUGUGUGAGCCCCUGCAUCCAGCCAUGCCUGAAAUCCACCUCUGGACUUACCUGUUACACAUACCACAAGUUUCCUCUUUUGCUGACGUCUGCCCUCAAGGAAAGCUGGAAUGUGGGCAUUUUCACACCUCCUGAUUCAUGGUUGUUAAUAACUGACUUGUUUUGCGCUGGAAAAAAAAAAUUCCACAUUAAAAAAAAUUUUCCUUCCCA
Molecule: long non-coding RNA, 541 nt
Organism: Camelus dromedarius (Arabian camel)
Lineage: Eukaryota; Metazoa; Chordata; Mammalia; Artiodactyla; Camelidae
Exons: 2
Source: RefSeq, a predicted model, not a curated record